GACGAACGCUGGCGGCGUGCUUAACACAUGCAAGUCGAACGGAAAGGCCCUGCCUUUGUGGGGUGCUCGAGUGGCGAACGGGUGAGUAACACGUGAGUAACCUGCCCUUGACUUUGGGAUAACUUCAGGAAACUGGGGCUAAUACCGGAUAGGAGCUCCUGCUGCAUGGUGGGGGUUGGAAAGUUUCGGCGGUUGGGGAUGGACUCGCGGCUUAUCAGCUUGUUGGUGGGGUAGUGGCUUACCAAGGCUUUGACGGGUAGCCGGCCUGAGAGGGUGACCGGCCACAUUGGGACUGAGAUACGGCCCAGACUCCUACGGGAGGCAGCAGUGGGGAAUAUUGCACAAUGGGCGGAAGCCCGAUGCAGCAACGCCGCGUGCGGGAUGACGGCCUUCGGGUUGUAAACCGCUUUCGCCUGUGACGAAGCGUGAGUGACGGUAAUGGGUAAAGAAGCACCGGCUAACUACGUG
This 468-nucleotide ribosomal RNA is filed under the name uncultured bacterium. RNAcentral's name for it is "partial 16S ribosomal RNA". It matches the Rfam family "Bacterial small subunit ribosomal RNA", at positions 28 to 507 of the family's 1533-position model. The record is from RNAcentral.